Molecule: ribosomal RNA, 509 nt
Filed under: uncultured Bacteroidales bacterium
Lineage: Bacteria; Pseudomonadati; Bacteroidota; Bacteroidia; Bacteroidales
Description: bacterial SSU rRNA
Rfam family: Bacterial small subunit ribosomal RNA
Source: RNAcentral
AGAGUUUGAUCCUGGCUCAGGAUGAACGCUAGCGGCAGGCUUAACACAUGCAAGUCGAGGGGCAUCGGGAGGGAAGCUUGCUUUCCUUGCCGGCGACCGGCGCACGGGUGAGUAACACGUAUGCAACCUGCCCUCUUCAGGGGGACAACCUUCCGAAAGGGAGGCUAAUCCCGCGUAUAUCGGUUUCGGGCAUCCGAGAUCGAGGAAAGAUUCAUCGGAAGAGGAUGGGCAUGCGGCGCAUUAGCUUGACGGCGGGGUAACGGCCCACCGUGGCGACGAUGCGUAGGGGUUCUGAGAGGAAGGUCCCCCACACUGGUACUGAGACACGGACCAGGCUCCUACGGGAGGCAGCAGUGAGGAAUAUUGGUCAAUGGGAGAGAUCCUGAACCAGCCAAGCCGCGUGAGGGAAGACGGCCCUAUGGGUUGUAAACCUCUUUUGUCGGAGAACAAAACCCGGGACGUGUCCCGGACUGCGUGUAUCCGAAGAAAAAGCAUCGGCUAACUCCGUG